CCUCUGGUAGCUCAGUUGGUAGAGCGGUGGACUGUAGAUCCAUAGGUCGCUGGUUCAAAUCCGGCCCAGAGGA
This 73-nucleotide transfer RNA is filed under the name Schistocerca americana (American grasshopper). RNAcentral describes it as "tRNA-Tyr". It matches the Rfam family "tRNA". From Rfam's summary of the family: Transfer RNA (tRNA) molecules are approximately 80 nucleotides in length. Their secondary structure includes four short double-helical elements and three loops (D, anti-codon, and T loops). Further hydrogen bonds mediate the characteristic L-shaped molecular structure. tRNAs have two regions of fundamental functional importance: the anti-codon, which is responsible for specific mRNA codon recognition, and the 3' end, to which the tRNAs corresponding amino acid is attached (by aminoacyl-tRNA synthetases). tRNAs cope with the degeneracy of the genetic code in two manners: having more than one tRNA (with a specific anti-codon) for a particular amino acid; and 'wobble' base-pairing, i.e. permitting non-standard base-pairing at the 3rd anti-codon position. The record is from RNAcentral. RNAcentral also lists the same sequence under 8 other names. Lineage: Eukaryota; Metazoa; Arthropoda; Insecta; Orthoptera; Acrididae.